GUGGGGAAUCUUCCGCAAUGGACGAAAGUCUGACGGAGCAACGCCGCGUGAGUGAAGAAGGUUUUCGGAUCGUAAAGCUCUUUCGUCAGGGACGAACGUAUUUCUUGUAAAUAAUGAGAGAUAGUGACGGUACCUGAAUAAGAAGCCACGGCUAACUACGUGCCAGCAGCCGCGGUAAUACGUAGGUGGCAAGCGUUGUCCGGAAUUAUUGGGCGUAAAGCGCGCGCAGGCGGGAUAUCAAGUCUGUCUUAAAAGUGCGAGGCUCAACCUCGUGAGGGGACAGAAACUGGUAUUCUUGAGUGUCGGAGAGGAAAGUGGAAUUCCAAGUGUAGCGGUGAAAUGCGUAGAGAUUUGGAAGAACACCAGUGGCGAAGGCGACUUUCUGGACGAUGUCUGACGCUGAGGCGCGAAAGCUAGGGGAGCGAACGGGAUUAGAUACCCUUGUAGUCC
Molecule: ribosomal RNA, 450 nt
Filed under: uncultured bacterium
Lineage: Bacteria
Description: partial 16S ribosomal RNA
Rfam family: Bacterial small subunit ribosomal RNA
Source: RNAcentral